This 447-nucleotide ribosomal RNA is filed under the name uncultured bacterium. Its description in RNAcentral is "bacterial SSU rRNA". It matches the Rfam family "Bacterial small subunit ribosomal RNA", at positions 29 to 507 of the family's 1533-position model. The record is from RNAcentral.
AGCGAACGCUAGCGGCGGGCUUAACACAUGCAAGUCGAGCGGAGAGCUUCGGCUCUCAGCGGCGAACGGGUGAGUAACACGUAGGUCACGUACCCUUUGAUGGGGAAUAACCUAGGGAAACCUGGGCUAAUACCGUAUAUGUCCUUCGGGAUGAAAGCCUUCGGGCGUCAGAGGAUCGGCCUGCGGCCCAUUAUUUAAUCCUAGUUGGUAGGGUAAUGGCCUACCAAGGGUACGAUGGGUAGCUGGUCUGAGAGGAUGAUCAGCCACACUGGAACUGAGACACGGUUCAGACUCCUACGGGAGGCAGCAGUGGGGAAUAUUGGACAAUGGGCGAAAGCCUGAUCCAGCCACGCCGCGUGGGUGAUGAAGGCCUUCGGGUUGUAAAGCCCUGUCGGGAGGGACGAAUCAAUGACGGUACCUCCCAAGAAAGCACCGGCUAACUCCGUG